Molecule: ribosomal RNA, 478 nt
Filed under: uncultured bacterium
Lineage: Bacteria
Description: partial 16S ribosomal RNA
Rfam family: Bacterial small subunit ribosomal RNA
Source: RNAcentral
GAUGAACGCUGGCGGCGUGCUUAACACAUGCAAGUCGAACGGGAAAUAUUUCAUUGAGACUUCGGUGGAUUUGAUUUAUUUCUAGUGGCGGACGGGUGAGUAACGCGUGGGUAACCUGCCUUAUACAGGGGGAUAACAGUCAGAAAUGGCUGCUAAUACCGCAUAAGCGCACAGAGCUGCAUGGCUCAGUGUGAAAAACUCCGGUGGUAUAAGAUGGACCCGCGUUGGAUUAGCUAGUUGGUGGGGUAACGGCCCACCAAGGCGACGAUCCAUAGCCGGCCUGAGAGGGUGAACGGCCACAUUGGGACUGGGACACGGCCCAGACUCCUACGGGGAGCAGCAGUGGGGAAUAUUGCACAAUGGGGGAAACCCUGAUGCAGCGAUGCCGCGUGAAGGAAGAAGUAUCUCGGUAUGUAAACUUCUAUCAGCAGGGAAGAUAGUGACGGUACCUGACUAAGAAGCCCCGGCUAACUACGUG